RNAcentral lists this long non-coding RNA (1205 nucleotides) under Nicotiana tabacum (common tobacco). RNAcentral's name for it is "long non-coding RNA (NTAB_LNC004175)". Lineage: Eukaryota; Viridiplantae; Streptophyta; Magnoliopsida; Solanales; Solanaceae. The record is from RNAcentral.
AUGUUUGGGGUAAGGAGCAGAAACGUGAGAGAUCCCAACACAACAAGAAAACUUUUCCUUUCUUAGUUUGAAAGGUUAGGAGCUAAGGAAAACGUUAGAAGACUUCUUUCCAAGCAAAUUUCGUUCAAAUUCAGAAACAUAAGCUUCAUUCUCUCGUUUCAACAUAUUUCACGGAAGCAGAAGCUUCACUUCGAUCAAAUAAUUUAAGGAACAAGUAUGUUAAGGCCCUCCCUUCUUUCUUUUGGCAUAGUCUAAAUUAUACUGAAGAAAUAAGCAAUCACAUAGUUUCUAUAAAUUACUCUAUUCAUAGAAAUAGUAGGGGUGUCUAUAUUCUUGAUUCCCCAUGAAAAAUAUUAUUGUCUUCUCUUCAUAGGUCUCAGAAUAAUACAUAAUUGAAAAAGUUUAUCCGGAAGGAAUAUUGCGAUUAUUACGUAUUUUUCAUGCAUUUGACUCAUUUAUACAUGUGCAUUGACCCAUGACCGAAUGACAUUGUAUAUGCGUAUAUAUGUAAAUAUAUGUAUAUGGGAUAUGGAAAAAGGUUAUGGCGUUAUAUACGCACCACCACCUGAUAUGGUAUAUGUUGAUGAUGUUGCCCACAGUGGUUGAGAUGAUAUGAUGGGAUGCCCUCAGUGGCUUGAUGAUAUUAUGUACACCCAUACCUAUGCAUGGCAUGACAUUUAUACGCACGUGCAUGACAUUAUAAAGGUUUUAGAAUUUACAAAGUUAUUCAGAUUUAAAGAUGUGUUUCCUUAUUCCAUGUUUCAUUUAUAUUUUUUACGUACUAAUUUUCAUGCCUUACAUAUUCAGUACAUUUUUCGUACUGACGCCCUAUUUCAUGGGGCCUGCGUUUAUGCCUGCAGGUGUAGGUAGGCAAGCUGACGGUCCCCCUUCUUAGGAUCCCUGAUCAUCGAGAGUUGGCAUGCUCCACUUGAUCUGGCGCUGCUUUUGAUUUUAGUAUGAUACGUUUGAAUAUACAUAUGUCUAUGGGUAUGACGUGACUCAGUCCCGUCUUUGUACAGUUAUGUUUCUAUUAGAGGUCUGUGGACAAUAUGUCUAGUUGGGCUGUAUGUGGCCUUGUCGGCCUUCAGUUUUGAAUGUAUAGUUGUCUAUAGCAGCCUUGCCAGCUCACCCACUGUAUCCUUCAUGUAUGCGUACAUCUGCCUUAUUGGCAUGUUUCUUUUAUAUAUGUUAUUUUCGUAAUUCAG